UACGGAGGAGGCAAGCGUUAUCCGGAAUUAUUGGGCGUAAAGCGUCCGCAGGUGGCUAUUCAAGUCUGCGGUCAAAGACUGAGGCUUAACCCUGGAAAGGCCGUGGAAACUGAAGAGCUAGAGUGCAGUAGGGGUAGAGGGAAUUCCCGGUGUAGCGGUGAAAUGCGUAGAGCUCGGGAAGAACAUCGGUGGCGAAAGCGCUCUGCUGGACUGCAACUGACACUCAGGGACGAAAGCUAGGGGAGCGAAUGGG
Molecule: ribosomal RNA, 253 nt
Filed under: uncultured bacterium
Lineage: Bacteria
Description: partial 16S ribosomal RNA
Rfam family: Bacterial small subunit ribosomal RNA
Source: RNAcentral